This 346-nucleotide ribosomal RNA is filed under the name Pseudamnicola sp. Rhodos. Its description in RNAcentral is "partial 16S ribosomal RNA". It matches the Rfam family "Bacterial large subunit ribosomal RNA", at positions 2048 to 2587 of the family's 2925-position model. The record is from RNAcentral. Lineage: Eukaryota; Metazoa; Mollusca; Gastropoda; Littorinimorpha; Hydrobiidae.
CUCUUAUAGAUUUUAUAGAAUUUGGUUUUUAGGUGAAGAAACCUAAAUGUAAUUAAAAGACAAGAAGACCCUAUCGAGCUUAAAAUAAUUUUUUUGGUAUAAUGAUAACAUCUUACUCAAAAAAAGAUUUUAGUUGGGGCGACUAAGGAACACAAAAAGCUUCCUAUAAACUAUAGCUACUAAUAAGUAUUGAUCCAAAAAAUUUGAUUAACAGAAUUAGUUACCGUAGGGAUAACAGCAUAAUCUUUUCCAAGAGUCCUUAUCGAAGAAAAGGUUUGUGACCUCGAUGUUGGACUAGGGUGCCCAGACAGGUGCAGAAGCCUUCAAUGGUUGGUCUGUUCGACCA